This 486-nucleotide ribosomal RNA is filed under the name uncultured bacterium. RNAcentral describes it as "bacterial SSU rRNA". It matches the Rfam family "Bacterial small subunit ribosomal RNA", at positions 25 to 523 of the family's 1533-position model. The record is from RNAcentral.
CAGGAUGAACGCUAGCGGCGUGCCUAAUACAUGCAAGUCGAACGGAGAGGUCUUGUAGCAAUACAGGCCUCUUAGUGGCGAACGGGUGAGUAACGCGUGGGUGACCUGCCCCAAAGAGGGGGAUAACAGUCCGAAAGGACUGCUAAUACCCCAUGUGGUCAACGGGUUUAGAAGCCGUUGACCAAAGGAGCAAUCCGCUUUGGGAGGGGCCCGCGUCCCAUCAGGUAGUUGGUAGGGUAACGGCCUACCAAGCCGAUGACGGGUAGGGGGCCUGAGAGGGUGGCCCCCCACAAUGGCACUGAAACACGGGCCAUACACCUACGGGUGGCAGCAGUAGGGAAUAUUGGACAAUGGGCGAAAGCCUGAUCCAGCAACGCCGCGUGCGCGAUGAAGGCCUUCGGGCUGUAAAGCGCUUUUCGGGAGGAUGAGCAAGGACAGUACUCCCGGAAUAAGUCUCGGCUAACUACGUGCCAGCAGCCGCGGUAA